Molecule: long non-coding RNA, 374 nt
Filed under: Ananas comosus (pineapple)
Lineage: Eukaryota; Viridiplantae; Streptophyta; Magnoliopsida; Poales; Bromeliaceae
Description: long non-coding RNA (ACOM_LNC037658)
Source: RNAcentral
AAACCUGUAUAUUUUUUAUUUUUUUUUUCACAAAAAAAAAUCUUUAUUUUCAUCUUAAAAUUAAAACCUGCUACAAUGUUUGGAGAAACAAUUAUUAGGCUUAGUUUGGUAUUGAGAUCUAUCUAACACUAUUAGAUUGAAUGGAGUUGAAAAGAAACAUAUAAGGAUAUAUUUCUGCGUUUUUCAAUAAGACCGCAGAAAAUAUAUCGUAACCAACUAACCGCAAUAUGCGGAACGCAAUAUUAUAUACAAAAAUAUUUUUCCAUUGUCAUUUCUCACCAUACGUAACGCAAUCUUUCCGCAAUCCCAAACUAAGCCUUAAUCGACCAAACUUUUUGCGCUUUGCAAACAUUAUUAAUUUCCUGUUCUCUCCU